GAAUUUUGGACAAUGGGCGAAAGCCUGAUCCAGCAAUGCCGCGUGCAGGAUGAAGGCCUUCGGGUUGUACACUGCUUUUGUCCGGAACGAAAAGCUUUGGGUUAAUACCCUGGAGUCCUUACGGUAACGCAAGAAUAAGCACCGGCGACCUACGUGCCAGCCGCCGCGGGAAGACGUAGGGUGCAAGAGGUAAAGGGAAUUACUGGGCGUAAAGAGGGCGCGGGCGGUUUUGUAAGAAAGAGGUGAAAGCCCCGGGCUCAACCUGGGAACUGCCUUUGUGACUGCAAGGCGAGAGUACGGCAGAGGGGGGUGGAAUUCCGAGUGUAGCAGUGAAAUGCGUAGGUAUGCGGAGGAACACCGAUGGCGAAGGCAACCCCCUGGGCCUGUACUGACGCUCAUGCACGAAAGCGUGGGGAGCAAACAG
RNAcentral lists this ribosomal RNA (424 nucleotides) under uncultured bacterium. RNAcentral describes it as "partial 16S ribosomal RNA". It matches the Rfam family "Bacterial small subunit ribosomal RNA", at positions 359 to 775 of the family's 1533-position model. The record is from RNAcentral.